GAUGAAGAACGCAGCGAAAUGCGAUAAGUAAUGUGAAUUGCAGAAUUCAGUGAAUCAUCGAAUCUUUGAACGCACAUUGCGCCCCCUGGUAUUCCGGGGGGCAUGCCUGUCCGAGCGUCAUUACAACCCUCAAGCUCAGCUUGGUGUUGGGCCCCGCCGCCCCGGCGGGCCCAAAAGUCAGUGGCGGUGCCGUCCGGCUCCGAGCGUAGUAAUUCUUCUCGCUCUGGAGGUCCGGUCGUGUGCUCGCCAGCAACCCCCAAUUUUUUUCAGGUUGACCUCGGAUCAGGUAGGGAUACCCGCUGAACUUAAGCAUAUCAAUAAGCGGAGGA
This 329-nucleotide unclassified non-coding RNA is filed under the name soil metagenome. RNAcentral's name for it is "partial contains 5.8S ribosomal RNA, internal transcribed spacer 2, and large subunit ribosomal RNA". The stretch from base 1 to 120 matches the Rfam family "5.8S ribosomal RNA", at positions 35 to 154 of the family's 154-position model. The record is from RNAcentral.